RNAcentral lists this ribosomal RNA (899 nucleotides) under Staphylococcus aureus. RNAcentral's name for it is "partial 23S ribosomal RNA". It matches the Rfam family "Bacterial large subunit ribosomal RNA", at positions 1403 to 2297 of the family's 2925-position model. Lineage: Bacteria; Bacillati; Bacillota; Bacilli; Caryophanales; Staphylococcaceae. The record is from RNAcentral.
CGACAGGCGUAGGCGAUGGAUAACAGGUUGAUAUUCCUGUACCACCUAUAAUCGUUUUAAUCGAUGGGGGGACGCAGUAGGAUAGGCGAAGCGUGCGAUUGGAUUGCACGUCUAAGCAGUAAGGCUGAGUAUUAGGCAAAUCCGGUACUCGUUAAGGCUGAGCUGUGAUGGGGAGAAGACAUUGUGUCUUCGAGUCGUUGAUUUCACACUGCCGAGAAAAGCCUCUAGAUAGAAAAUAGGUGCCCGUACCGCAAACCGACACAGGUAGUCAAGAUGAGAAUUCUAAGGUGAGCGAGCGAACUCUCGUUAAGGAACUCGGCAAAAUGACCCCGUAACUUCGGGAGAAGGGGUGCUCUUUAGGGUUAACGCCCAGAAGAGCCGCAGUGAAUAGGCCCAAGCGACUGUUUAUCAAAAACACAGGUCUCUGCUAAACCGUAAGGUGAUGUAUAGGGGCUGACGCCUGCCCGGUGCUGGAAGGUUAAGAGGAGUGGUUAGCUUCUGCGAAGCUACGAAUCGAAGCCCCAGUAAACGGCGGCCGUAACUAUAACGGUCCUAAGGUAGCGAAAUUCCUUGUCGGGUAAGUUCCGACCCGCACGAAAGGCGUAACGAUUUGGGCACUGUCUCAACGAGAGACUCGGUGAAAUCAUAGUACCUGUGAAGAUGCAGGUUACCCGCGACAGGACGGAAAGACCCCGUGGAGCUUUACUGUAGCCUGAUAUUGAAAUUCGGCACAGCUUGUACAGGAUAGGUAGGAGCCUUUGAAACGUGAGCGCUAGCUUACGUGGAGGCGCUGGUGGGAUACUACCCUAGCUGUGUUGGCUUUCUAACCCGCACCACUUAUCGUGGUGGGAGACAGUGUCAGGCGGGCAGUUUGACUGGGGCGGUCGCCUCCUAAAAGG